CUCAGAAACCUGUGUGAGCACUAUAAUCAACCGACCAGUUUUUUUUCUUUGGUGUUUCAAGAUCUAGCCCGAAAUAACAAAAACCAGACGCAGGACAUGCGGCCACAUGCACUGAUGGGCUGGAGGUUGAAAUAAAUCAGAAUGGCCACAGUGGACAAGAGGAAUGGAAGUUUACUGGAAAGUCGUUCACCCAUUCACAACCUGACGGUGGUGAGCUAUGUUAGUAGCCACAGCU
This is a long non-coding RNA of Fundulus heteroclitus (mummichog), 235 nucleotides long. RefSeq lists it as uncharacterized. The transcript is spliced from 4 exons. NCBI's taxonomy places the organism in Eukaryota, Metazoa, Chordata, Actinopteri, Cyprinodontiformes, Fundulidae. The record is from RefSeq and is a predicted model, not a curated record.